RNAcentral lists this ribosomal RNA (522 nucleotides) under uncultured bacterium. RNAcentral describes it as "partial 16S ribosomal RNA". It matches the Rfam family "Bacterial small subunit ribosomal RNA", at positions 355 to 894 of the family's 1533-position model. The record is from RNAcentral.
UGGGGAAUAUUGGACAAUGGGGGCAACCCUGAUCCAGCAAUGCCGCGUGUGUGAAGAAGGUUUUCGGAUUGUAAAGCACUUUCGACGGGGACGAUGAUGACGGUACCCGUAGAAGAAGCCCCGGCUAACUUCGUGCCAGCAGCCGCGGUAAUACGAAGGGGGCUAGCGUUGCUCGGAAUGACUGGGCGUAAAGGGCGUGUAGGCGGUUUGUACAGUCAGAUGUGAAAUCCCCGGGCUUAACCUGGGAGCUGCAUUUGAUACGUGCAGACUAGAGUGUGAGAGAGGGUUGUGGAAUUCCCAGUGUAGAGGUGAAAUUCGUAGAUAUUGGGAAGAACACCGGUGGCGAAGGCGGCAACCUGGCUCAUAACUGACGCUGAGGCGCGAAAGCGUGGGGAGCAAACAGGAUUAGAUACCCUGGUAGUCCACGCUGUAAACGAUGUGUGCUAGAUGUUGGGUAACUUAGUUAUUCAGUGUCGCAGUUAACGCGUUAAGCACACCGCCUGGGGAGUACGGCCGCAAGGU